UCCAUGGUUCCCAGUGGGUACGGCCACCCAAGGGAAAAGCUCGACCAAUAGGUCCAAGGGAGGCAACUGCAAGUUAGUUCAAUAAACAAAUAAAUAUAUAUCUUGAUUAUGCAACAAAUGAAACCAUGCAUUGCCUCACGAAUGCAAUAUGAAGAUCAUGCAAUGAUGCGACUAUACAAUCAACUAGUAAUUCAAUCGAUUACUACUUUCAUCCAAUUGACAUUUAAGGCUUUCUGUCAUUUACCAUUUUAAUCAUAAGGUCUCAUUUACCUUUAUCAACUAUCCACCCGACUCGGUCUUGAGUCAAUCAUUCGCGGAGUACCGCGCAAAGGCAGGCUCGAGGCGAAGGACGUCUCACUUGCACCUCAGCCUUAAGUCCACUCAACUAGGGUAUUAUUAUAGCUCAUAAAUUUAUUACCCAAUCACUUGGCUAACCCGAAGGUUUCGCCCUCAACAAACUCACCAACUCAAAAUUCGAAAAAUCGGGGAGAUACUCGCUACACCCGAUGGGACCGUCCUCUGGGGAGAUACUCGCUACAACCCAGUGAUGUCGACUCCGGAGCACAUCGCCCGAGGGGGAGCUACCACAACCUCGAGCAAGGACUAAAGGUGAGUAUGAUCAAUGAUCAAAUCCAAAAUCUUGAGGAUGUCAAGUUCAAUCCAUUUCUUAACUUUAGAAAGACUAUGCUCAAAUGACCCUAACUCUAGGAUUGAAAUGUCAUAAUAUUUCCAUCAUUCUUUUCUUUGCAUUCUUUACUAUCACUCGUGUCAUAUACACUACUAUAUUCUUGGACUCAUGCCACACUUGUUUUUUAAGUGUUCAACAUACCAUAAGUGUUUCCACUAUACUAAUCAUAUGCCACUCGAUCUAAUAUAUAUAGAUUGUCCACGUCACAUAUCAUAGUUCAUAUGUCAUUGUUUUUCAAUGUCGAGUUCUCUAAUUCACCUAGAGUUUAUCGACCCAAGUUCAACAUGCAUGUGUCAUUUAACAUAAUCCACAAUAUGUCAAUAUACAUUCAUCUAGUAUAUUCUACAAUAAAUCAACAUGCACUCAUUCAUCAUAUUCCACAAUAUGUCUACAUAUAUAUGCCAACCAUUCAUAUGCCAUCCAACAUGUUCCAUAAUUUAUCAACAUGCAUAUUACCUCUAACAUAUUACUAUAACAUUAUUUUCAUGCAUUCAUGUAACAAUUAACUCAUGCAUUCAUCUAGCAUUAUUUAACUUGCAUCUUAUCAUUACGCAUUUCUACUUGGCAUUUACAUUAACAUGCAUCAUUUUCAUACUUCAUUUACAUCUAUAUGCAUCAACAUGGAUUCUUAAUUUGCUUAGACAUAAAGGCGACCUAGUCGCUUCGGUAAGCACAACCCACCUUAACUCGCGUUCCGAUUGCUUGUCGACACUUGCAAUCGGCCUCCCGCGGCACCCGUAUCCGGCACGGCCCGAUAUCGCAACUGCGCCUCAACUGUGCUCCGCUUCGCAGCCCCGAAAAUUAUAGGUCUUCGGUUAUGUGCCACGAUGCCUCAAAUCCAUUUCCAUGAUUUUACGACGUCGCCUCGGCCCUCCCGGCGGACCCGAAGCCUAAACGUCCAUUUCUUUAAUAACUUUGUAACGACUCGUCGGAUUGCCGAACCGUCUUUGCCAACGCGUUUCGUUGCCUAGCAAUUAGGUUUACGAAGGGUCAAAUGAGAUCAAACCCUCAUAUUUUGAAAGUUUGCAUUUUGGAGCCCUAGGUUACAACUAUGCAAGAAAUCACUAAAUUGAUCCAUGAUUCAAGCAUUAAUCAUCUAGAUAGCAUGCUAGAACUCCUCUAAAUUCAUUUAUAAGGUAUUUAAACAAAGCAUUAAAGAUCUACCAUUAAAGGGCUCAAGAAGCUCAUCUCAAAAUGAGCUCCAAACCAUGGAGAAGAUGAAGAAGACGAAGGCGAUCCACCUCCAAGCUUCAAUCUCCACCAAAUCCAUUCUUUUUGGGAGAGAUUUAGAGAGAGAAAGAGAGGCUUCUCUCUUUCCUUCCAUGCGUGUGUGUUGUGUGCGUGCGUGUGUGGGGGGGUUGGGGCAGCCUCGGUUGAAGAAGGAAGGAGGAAAAGGGAUUUAAUCCCUUUUUACCAUUUUGCCCCUCAACUAUGCACUAUUCAUUUCGGGCAGUUUAUUUUUCGUCGGAGUCCUUCUGGAUGUCCGUUUUAGCUCAAAUUUGACAAUUAUGUUUGGUUUAACGUACUAAACAAGAAUAUAUCUUAAGUUUUCAGUUUCGACCCCGUUUGGUCACCGAAAACUGUGCCGAACUGCAAUCUUUAUCAGAUAGUCUUCGGAUUUUAUUUCUUACUCUACGGGUGUCAGAAAAAUAUGAAACUUUAAAUCUAGCCUCAUUAAAAUAUUACUGACAUCCCCGCCAAUUUUCAUAAUUUUCUGAGACUAUGCAUUUUCUGCUAAUUUAUCUGCCCCGUUUCCAACAGAAAAUUCUAGAUCUUCUGUUUUCAUUCCGAUUUCAGCACAAGUUACUUCUGACUUAUAUUUUACUUCUCUAAAUCCAAUAAAAAUAGUAUCUUACACUAUUUUUAUUUAUUUCUAUUUUUAUACCAAAAUCUGGUAUGUUACAAGUAUGCUGCUAGCCGCUUCUUUCGCUACCAGAUGGUCGAAGGAAAGUCCGUGGUCGAGCAAGUUCAAGACUUUCAGAUGAUCGCUCAUGAAGUUCAAUCUGAAGGAGUCAAGUUUGGAGAUAACUUGAUCGUACUAGGGAUCAUCGACAAGCUACCACCAUCAUGGAGGGAAUUCCAAAAAACCCUUCGACACAAGCAAAAGGAGAUGUCUCUCGAGACAUUAAUCACGCGCAUUCGCGUGGAAGAAGAGGCAAGAGGCCAAGAUGCACUUGAAGCAAAAGAGAAUGAUGCUAGCGCCACUAAGGUAAACUUAGUAUCUUCUAAUACUUUACCUAAUAACAAUCAUUCUAGAAAUACAUACUUGAAGCCUAAAAAGAAAAUUAGAAAGAACAGUGAUAACCUCAAUUUAAGAAAAAUGACCAAGGACCUCCUUCAAAUGUGAAAAAUUCUAUAAUUUGCUAUGUCUGUGGCAAAAGUGGGCAUAUUGCUCGAUUUGAAAAUUCCGGAAAUAUAAAGCUUUACCUCAAGCUAAUAUUACCGAGGAGCCACUUGUGGCGAUGAUAACAAACAAAUGCUUAGUGGAGAAUGCUGAAGGAUGGUGGGUAGACUCUGGUGCCAAUAGGCAUGUCUGUCAUGAUGAGACUUGGUUUAAAACAUAUACUCCCUAUGAACAACCAAGAAAUAUUAUGCUUGGUGAUUCGCAUACUUCUGAAGUUUUAGGGAGUGGUGAGGUCGAGUUAAAAUUUUCUUCUGGAAGGGUGCUUAUCUUGAAAGAUGUGUUGUAUACACCCUCGAUUAGGAAGAACUUGAUGUCAAGUUUUCUUCUUAAUAAAGCUGGCUUCAAACAGACCAUUGAGUCUGAUUAGUAUGUGAUUUCAAAGAAUGGAAAGUUUGUAGGUAAAGGUUAUGCAUGCGACGGAAUGUUUAAACUAAAUAUUGAGAAUAAAGUAUCAUCUACUUCUGCUUACAUGCUUUCUUCUGUGAAUUUUUAGCAUACUCGUUUGUGUCAUAUUAAUAGCAAAUAUGUUAGCUUGAUGAGUAGUUUAGGAUUAAUUCCCAAACUGAAUAGUGAUUUUGACAAAUGUGAAACAUGUAGUAAGUCAAAAAUUACUAAACGACCUUAUAAAAGUAUUGAAAGAAGUACCGAAUUACUUGAGCUAAUUCAUAGUGAUAUUUGUGAAUUUGAAGGUAAUCUAACUCGUGGAGAAAAUAGAUAUUUUAUCACUUUUAUUGAUGACUCUUCAAAAUAUACUUAUGUUUAUUUAUUAAAAAAUAAAAGUGAUGCUUUUGAAAAAUUUAAAGAUUUCCUUCAUGAAGUAGAAAACCAAUUCGGUAAAAAGAUAAAGAGAAUUAGAAGUGAUCGAGGUCGUGAGUAUGAAUUUACGGGAUUCAACUCUUUUGCUCAGUCUUUAGGAAUUAUCCAUGAGAUUACCGCUCCAUAUUCACCUGUCUCUAAUGGAGUGCCUGAGAGAAAAAAUAGAAUGCUUAUUGAGCUAACAAAUGCUAUGAUGAUUGACAUUGGUGUACCCUUAAACCUUUGGGGUGAAGCCAUUUUAACUACAUGUUAUGUCUUGAAUCGCGUGCCACAUAAGAAGUCUAAGGUGACACCCUUUGAAUUAUGAAAAGGGUAUAAGCCAAAUUUUGGAUAUCUUAAAGUAUGGGAUUGUCUAGCAUAUGUGAGGCUUACAGACCCUAAAAGACCCAAAUUGGAUGUUAGAGCUGCCACUUGUGUUUUUCUUGGAUAUGCUUUGAAUAGUACAACCUAUAGAUUUUUAGACAUUGAAAAUAAUGUGAUUUUUGAAUCAAGAGAUACUAUUUUUCAUGAAGAAAAGUUUCCUUAUAAAUCGAAAAAUAGUGGGGGUCAAAAUUUUAAAAGUAUUUCAAAUAAACCGAGUUCUUCAAACUCUUUCUUGCAAAAUCAAGAAAAAAAUAUUUUUGAACCAAGAAGAAGUAAACGAAGCAGAAUAGAAAAAGAUUUUGGCCCUGAUUAUGUUAUUCUGAAUAUUGAAGAAAAUUCAUUUUCUUUACAAGAAGCUUUAUCUUCAAAUGAUUCAAUUUUUUGGAAAGAGGCUGUACCUGAUGAGAUGGAAUCCAUAAUUUCUAAUAAAACAUGAAAAUUAGUGGAUUUACCACCAGGCUGUACAACAAUUGGUUGUAAAUGGGUUCUCAGAAAGAAGUUGAAACCGGAUGGAAGUGUAGACAAGUAUAAAGCUAGACUUGUCGCAAAAGGUUAUAAACAAAAAGAAGAUCUAGACUUCUUUGAUACCUUUUCUCCGGUGACAAGAGUGACAUCCAUCAGAGUUCUGAUUGCUAUUGCUGCAAUUCAUGACUUACAAAUUCAUCAGAUGGAUGUAAAAACUGCCUUUCUAAAUUGUCACGCCCCGAGCCCGAUCCUUUUUGGCCGAUUCGAGAGCGUGAAACAGACGCCGAACGGACAGAGCCUCCCCUGUCUGCCCAAGGCUCAACAACAGGUACAGAUAGAGUAUAGAAAUUGCAUAAGCAAAAGUAUACACAAUGGCUUGCACGAGGGCAAGCAAUAGCCAAGAGUGAAAGUAAACAACUACACUUAAGGAAUCGAUUACAUUUUUCAUCAUUUCUUUUCUUUUACAUCACAGGAUCUCAAAAUAUCAUUCUUGCAUUUAAAUGUAAAGAUCUUUCACAACAUACAUGUUCUUUUCUUUAACAACUAAAUCAUCAAGUACAGAAGAUGAUAUAUAAAAAAAAGGGGUAUGCAACUAGAGUAAGUAAACAUCUCGGGCGGUCUCUACCUAGGGCGCGAUGCCCUUACCGCGAUCGUCCGCCGGCUUACUGGGUCCCGGCUCUGUGGAAAUAGGAGUGUGAGAACUACAACAAAGUUCCCAGUGGGUUCGGCAACCAACCACGCCGACUAUCCCACUAGGUCUAAUCAGGCAUAAUAGAAUGAAAGAAAGUAAGUAACCAACUAGCAAAUGCAACUAAUAUGCCUGAACAAUAUAAAUGAUAUGCACAAUGUAAAGCUCAUAGUGUCAAUACCCAAUCUCUUGGCUAACCCGUAGGUUUCGCCCUCAACAAACUCACCAACUCAAAAUCCCAAUAAUCGGGGAGAUACUCGCUACACCUGAUGGGACCGUCCCCUGGGGAGAUACUCG
Molecule: long non-coding RNA, 5721 nt
Filed under: Ananas comosus (pineapple)
Lineage: Eukaryota; Viridiplantae; Streptophyta; Magnoliopsida; Poales; Bromeliaceae
Description: long non-coding RNA (ACOM_LNC009775)
Source: RNAcentral